CCGAUACGGCAUGCAUGCCGUCGAAUCGAAUCGCGACAGCGUGCAGUAGUACCGAGGUUCGUAAGAUCGUGCCGGCAUGGGUCGAAGAUGGCACACGGAGUCGUGGAUGGAGUAGCUGAAAUGAGUAGAGAUGCUGUAUGAAUCACCGGUACGGUGCACGUCAGUGUCCUGCUCAGUGAUCGUCCACUGAGGUGCGAACAGCUCGUGGAGCGUACGUGAUUCAUAUAGCAUCUGUAGUCCUAUCAGUACUCGACGACGCAACAGGUGUGUGGAGGUAUAGACCCCUUGCGUUCCGGAGUUUAACACCAUAAGUGUUCCUCAUCGGCAGUAUGUUCGCAAGAUUAAAACUCACAGGAAUUAUCGGGUACCCGCACAAGAAGUGGGGAGUGUGGUUUCAUUCUAUGUAUUGCGAAGAACCUUUGGCAGGGUUUUACAUGCACGUUCUUCCCCUGGAGACAGGAGUCCCUUCGGGGCGCGAGCACAGGUGUACAAUGGCUAAAGUCACCUCGUGCAGGGGGGGUGUUGGGUUAAGUCCCGCAACGAGCGCAAGCCAAGUGGUCGGUUAGGACGCCCGACCAGAUUGGCACGGUUAACAUGGAGGAAGGUGGGGAUGAUGUCAAGUCAGCACGGCCCUAUUGUCCUGGGCGACACACCCGCCCUAAUGGGCGAGACAAUGGGUAGCCAACCCGUGAGGGGGAGCCAAUCCCAGCAAACUCGCUCUCAGUUCGGAUGGCAGGCUGCAACCCCCCUGCCUGAAGCCGGAGUUGCUAGUAACCGUGGGUCAGCACACCACGGUGAAUACGUUCCCGGGUCUUGUACACACCGCCCGUCACACCACAAAGUCGGCAACACCUGAAGCCGCUGGGCUAACCCGUCAGGGAGGCAGGCGUCGAGGGUGGGGUUGGUGAUUGGGGCGAAGUCGUAACAAGGUAACCA
This 936-nucleotide ribosomal RNA is filed under the name uncultured soil bacterium. RNAcentral's name for it is "SSU rRNA". The stretch from base 131 to 936 matches the Rfam family "Bacterial small subunit ribosomal RNA". The record is from RNAcentral.